CACCCUGUCUUUCUCCCCAUAGCCCUUCUCUCCUGACCUGGCUUUACAGGUGUUGUGAAGAAAGCAGGCUCCUUCCCUCGCUGGCUGGGAGCUGCUGCUUUGUUCUCUCUCCACAGCGCCCUCUGGUGGACAAAAGGCAGAACUGCAGAAGUUAUUUUCUGUUGGGAGCGGCUGUUCUUGCACCACAGCGUCCUCUGAAAGCGUUUGACAAGUUCCCUCACCACAGGCUUUUAAGUAAGCAGUUAUGGGACAACAGGGAAGGUCCUCUUAUGGAUCAAUAACUUGUUAAAAGCAUCAACACCACUUGAAAGAAAAGGAAGCAUCAUUGAACUGGGGGUGGGGUCCUGGCUGACAAGAAUCCAACUAGACUGCUGUAAGCAUGUGAUGUCCUGGCUUGUUCCACCAUCCUGGCUGAUGGUGCUGCCCAAGUAUGUGAAUGUUUCU
Chelonia mydas (Green sea turtle) is the source of this 444-nucleotide long non-coding RNA. RefSeq lists it as uncharacterized. NCBI's taxonomy places the organism in Eukaryota, Metazoa, Chordata, Testudines, Cheloniidae. The transcript has 4 exons. The record is from RefSeq and is a predicted model, not a curated record.